GGUUAAGCGACUAAGCGUACACGGUGGAUGCCCUGGCAGUCAGAGGCGAUGAAGGACGUGCUAAUCUGCGAUAAGCGUCGGUAAGGUGAUAUGAACCGUUAUAACCGGCGAUUUCCGAAUGGGGAAACCCAGUGUGAUUCGUCACACUAUCAUUAACUGAAUCCAUAGGUUAAUGAGGCGAACCGGGGGAACUGAAACAUCUAAGUACCCCGAGGAAAAGAAAUCAACCGAGAUUCCCCCAGUAGCGGCGAGCGAACGGGGAGCAGCCCAGAGCCUGAAUCAGUGUGUGUGUUAGUGGAAGCGUCUGGAAAGGCGUGCGAUACAGGGUGACAGCCCCGUACACAAAAAUGCACAUACUGUGAGCUCGAUGAGUAGGGCGGGACACGUGGUAUCCUGUCUGAAUAUGGGGGGACCAUCCUCCAAGGCUAAAUACUCCUGACUGACCGAUAGUGAACCAGUACCGUGAGGGAAAGGCGAAAAGAACCCCGGCGAGGGGAGUGAAAAAGAACCUGAAACCGUGUACGUACAAGCAGUGGGAGCACGCUUAGGCGUGUGACUGCGUACCUUUUGUAUAAUGGGUCAGCGACUUAUAUUCUGUAGCAAGGUUAACCGAAUAGGGGAGCCGAAGGGAAACCGAGUCUUAACUGGGCGUUAAGUUGCAGGGUAUAGACCCGAAACCCGGUGAUCUAGCCAUGGGCAGGUUGAAGGUUGGGUAACACUAACUGGAGGACCGAACCGACUAAUGUUGAAAAAUUAGCGGAUGACUUGUGGCUGGGGGUGAAAGGCCAAUCAAACCGGGAGAUAGCUGGUUCUCCCCGAAAGCUAUUUAGGUAGCGCCUCGUGAAUUCAUCUCCGGGGGUAGAGCACUGUUUCGGCAAGGGGGUCAUCCCGACUUACCAACCCGAUGCAAACUGCGAAUACCGGAGAAUGUUAUCACGGGAGACACACGGCGGGUGCUAACGUCCGUCGUGAAGAGGGAAACAACCCAGACCGCCAGCUAAGGUCCCAAAGUCAUGGUUAAGUGGGAAACGAUGUGGGAAGGCCCAGACAGCCAGGAUGUUGGCUUAGAAGCAGCCAUCAUUUAAAGAAAGCGUAAUAGCUCACUGGUCGAGUCGGCCUGCGCGGAAGAUGUAACGGGGCUAAACCAUGCACCGAAGCUGCGGCAGCGACGCUUAUGCGUUGUUGGGUAGGGGAGCGUUCUGUAAGCCUGUGAAGGUGUACUGUGAGGUAUGCUGGAGGUAUCAGAAGUGCGAAUGCUGACAUAAGUAACGAUAAAGCGGGUGAAAAGCCCGCUCGCCGGAAGACCAAGGGUUCCUGUCCAACGUUAAUCGGGGCAGGGUGAGUCGACCCCUAAGGCGAGGCCGAAAGGCGUAGUCGAUGGGAAACAGGUUAAUAUUCCUGUACUUGGUGUUACUGCGAAGGGGGGACGGAGAAGGCUAUGUUGGCCGGGCGACGGUUGUCCCGGUUUAAGCGUGUAGGCUGGUUUUCCAGGCAAAUCCGGAAAAUCAAGGCCGAGGCGUGAUGACGAGGCACUACGGUGCUGAAGCAACAAAUGCCCUGCUUCCAGGAAAAGCCUCUAAGCAUCAGGUAACAUCAAAUCGUACCCCAAACCGACACAGGUGGUCAGGUAGAGAAUACCAAGGCGCUUGAGAGAACUCGGGUGAAGGAACUAGGCAAAAUGGUGCCGUAACUUCGGGAGAAGGCACGCUGAUACGUAGGUGAAGCGACUUGCUCGUGGAGCUGAAAUCAGUCGAAGAUACCAGCUGGCUGCAACUGUUUAUUAAAAACACAGCACUGUGCAAACACGAAAGUGGACGUAUACGGUGUGACGCCUGCCCGGUGCCGGAAGGUUAAUUGAUGGGGUUAGCGCAAGCGAAGCUCUUGAUCGAAGCCCCGGUAAACGGCGGCCGUAACUAUAACGGUCCUAAGGUAGCGAAAUUCCUUGUCGGGUAAGUUCCGACCUGCACGAAUGGCGUAAUGAUGGCCAGGCUGUCUCCACCCGAGACUCAGUGAAAUUGAACUCGCUGUGAAGAUGCAGUGUACCCGCGGCAAGACGGAAAGACCCCGUGAACCUUUACUAUAGCUUGACACUGAACAUUGAGCCUUGAUGUGUAGGAUAGGUGGGAGGCUUUGAAGUGUGGACGCCAGUCUGCAUGGAGCCGACCUUGAAAUACCACCCUUUAAUGUUUGAUGUUCUAACGUGGACCCGUAAUCCGGGUUGCGGACAGUGUCUGGUGGGUAGUUUGACUGGGGCGGUCUCCUCCUAAAGAGUAACGGAGGAGCACGAAGGUUGGCUAAUCCUGGUCGGACAUCAGGAGGUUAGUGCAAUGGCAUAAGCCAGCUUGACUGCGAGCGUGACGGCGCGAGCAGGUGCGAAAGCAGGUCAUAGUGAUCCGGUGGUUCUGAAUGGAAGGGCCAUCGCUCAACGGAUAAAAGGUACUCCGGGGAUAACAGGCUGAUACCGCCCAAGAGUUCAUAUCGACGGCGGUGUUUGGCACCUCGAUGUCGGCUCAUCACAUCCUGGGGCUGAAGUAGGUCCCAAGGGUAUGGCUGUUCGCCAUUUAAAGUGGUACGCGAGCUGGGUUUAGAACGUCGUGAGACAGUUCGGUCCCUAUCUGCCGUGGGCGCUGGAGAACUGAGGGGGGCUGCUCCUAGUACGAGAGGACCGGAGUGGACGCAUCACUGGUGUUCGGGUUGUCAUGCCAAUGGCACUGCCCGGUAGCUAAAUGCGGAAGAGAUAAGUGCUGAAAGCAUCUAAGCACGAAACUUGCCCCGAGAUGAGUUCUCCCUGACCCUUUAAGGGUCCUGAAGGAACGUUGAAGACGACGA
RNAcentral lists this ribosomal RNA (2829 nucleotides) under Shigella flexneri. RNAcentral's name for it is "partial 23S ribosomal RNA". It matches the Rfam family "Bacterial large subunit ribosomal RNA". Lineage: Bacteria; Pseudomonadati; Pseudomonadota; Gammaproteobacteria; Enterobacterales; Enterobacteriaceae. The record is from RNAcentral.